This is a long non-coding RNA of Triticum aestivum (bread wheat), 4785 nucleotides long. RefSeq lists it as uncharacterized. The transcript has 6 exons. The record is from RefSeq and is a predicted model, not a curated record. NCBI's taxonomy places the organism in Eukaryota, Viridiplantae, Streptophyta, Magnoliopsida, Poales, Poaceae.
AAUUAAACCAGCGAAAAAAGAUCGUGGCCUCCAUACUACCCCGAGUCGAUACGCCCUAUCCUCCCUAACCGGCUCUCGUCUCCCUCAGAUGCAGCCACCCGCUGAAUCGAAUCGCGCUGCCAGGCUCGUCCGCCUCGCCGUGGCUGCGUCCCUCCCCGGAUGGCGGCGACGAUGGAGGGAGCCACUGGCGCUGGCCAGGCUCCCGGCCGAUGGACGCGCCGGGUUGUCGCUCCUCCGGGCCAGCCCCUCCCGCCGUGCUGCAUCACGUGGCGGCGUAGGGAACCCUAACCAGCCCCCGAUCUUCGCAUCUCUCCCUGAAUCCCUCCUCCUCCACGAGCCGCGCGUGUGCUUCUCUUCUCCCACAUGCUGCUCCUCUCCCUCCCCAAAUCGGCAUGGAUCUCGCACUGCUGGAUCCCCUCCUCUCCCUCCCUGACUUGUCGUGAAUCUUGUGCUGCGAGAGCUGCUCCUAUCCCUUCCCUGGCCGCCAUGGAUCUGGCCAGGCACCAUUGGAGGAAGCCCAACAUUUAUGCUAGGCGGUGUAUACAGGCUGGUACAUUGCACCGGGUGAAGGGUGCAGAUCAUGUUCCUGAGAGCAUCCAAAACAUAUGGGAGGUGCUGCCCGGAGCUGUGGGAGGACCGCGUCGUGAGACCUCGGUGACUGCGGACAUGGUAACCAACUAGACUCACACCUAACUUGAAUUUUCCUUCUGCUGAUUUGGUGUUAGUUCAGGUCCAGGGUAGGUGCUAAUGGAGAGUUGGAGGGUGAAUGGGAGAGGUGAUAGCUAAUUAUGGUUUGACUUUAGUAAUUAUAUUUGUUCCUUGUUCGUUGCCAUUUUGUUGUGCUAAAUGUAGUAUGUGAUCUAGAGGAUAUUUAGGUAUCAGAUUAGUAACAGUGCAGUAGCAUCAGACACUUGGUGUUUUCUCAUGUGAUAUAUCUAAGUGGUAAUCAGUUGUACAACUAGACAAAUGCAAAUGUCCAUAGUAAUAAACUUGUGGUCACAAAACUGCUGCUUAAAGUUUGUUCAAUUAUGGAAAUGGGCAUUUUAGUUCUGCUCCUUAAUUUUGUUCAAUUAUGUAAACGCAUGGGCACGCGAUGCCGUUUCCUUACCUCACAAAAUCAAACUGAAGGCAUCCAAUUCUGGUGGUAAUAACUGAUCACGUGUAUUGCCAUUUUUACAGAACAAUUUAUUCUCCUACUCUCCAGAGAUCUGAUCAUAACUAUCUUGCUCAUUUGAUGUUGUUAUGUUUGUUACUCUGUCUUGGUAGAAACAGAUAUUAAGGAGAGGCACUCCAAGAGAUCAUGUGUAAGUACAAUUGAGUUGUGAGUUUUCUUUUUUACACCAUUGAUAUAAUUUUAAUAUUUAUGAUGAUUGCAUAUGGAUAUAUAGCUAUUUUGUUUACCUUGUGAAAUAGUACCAAUCUUAGAACAUGCUCCUAAUUCAGGUAAAACUAUGGAAAAUGAAUGGGUAGAUAGAUUUUGAGAUUUGGUCCUUCUAUUGACCAAUCGUAUAGAUUAUGAUCCUAUAGAGUUAGAGUUGUUAAUUAUGUUAUUAUUGGUGUAGUUAAAACCUUCAGACAGCUAAUGGUCUUGUCAUCAUGUUUUAGUAUUGAACUGCAGAAUACUGGAGCCGUAGUUUCCGCCUCAUGCUUUCUCCCUUGUAAGGAGGAUAGCCGGGGCGCGGUGCGAGGAUAGCUGCCGCUUCAUCCGAGGAUGCGCCUGCUGACGGAUGUCGCGUCGAGUCCAUGACGGACCUCUUUGUGCAAGGCAUCACCUCCUCCCUUCAUCUCUUCUCUAUUCAGCCCGGUCGGAGUGAGCAUGCACGUGCAUUCCUACGUACUGAAAUGGUCGUUCCCGUGCGUCUCCAAGGUUGAACAAAUAUGGUUUUGUUUAACUGGUGGCUAGCUUUUUCUUACUAAUGGAACCUGCAGCUCGGAACACACUGCACCCCGGUGAUGGGAAGUCCGGAACAACUAUCAAUGCAGGAGACGAUCAGCUGUUCUGCACUGGAUCGGGAAGAUCAGUGUUUGCCAGCGAGAGGGCUAUAAGGAGGGCCAGGGUGUUGGUCAGGGAGGAGCUGUAGAAGACUGGUAUCAAGUGAAGUGGGAGCUUAUGUGACCAAUUUUUGGUUUGCAGUAGUCAAACUAUUCCAUUGUUCGUUUCUGUAUGUACUGUAAUGGGAUAGUGGGAUGACCAGUGACGACGUGCCUGAUGCAAAGGGAUAAUGAGAGAAAUGGACCCUCCAUUUAGACGUAAGACUUGCUUUCUCCCUUUUUCUCUACAGAGUCAAGAUUGAAUGUUGCUCAAUAUCCAGAAACUAUCCAGGUUUGAUAAUUGUACCAACUGUAUUUUCUUGAGGUUGUGUGUUACUGAUUCAGUUUUCCUCUUAUGAAAUUUAGGCAGAGUGUGUACAGUACCAUGGCCCAGUGUUCCAAACUGGAUCAGGAAAAGCGGUCUUGUUGGGCAAUGCUUCAAUGCACAAGGCAUGAGCUAUUUUAGGAGAAACUAGAUGAUACUUGUAAUUAUUGUACCAGAAAAUAGAUGAUCAUUGUAUUUCUGCAACAGAAAACUUAUUGUUGUGAUUGUUUGAUACCUUACUUGAGGCGUUGAUCAGUUCGUGGAGCAAAGCUGGAGGGAGAUGGGAUACUGACGAUUAUUGAGAGCUAUUGGAUUAUUGAGAGUUGCCAUUUGUGAAAAAAUACAAUAUUUUGGAGGGCAUCUCUGACAGGAUACACAUACUUCCGGAUGCAAUAGUUUCUGAAGCAGCACCCCUGAAGAAAGAUGAUAUGGAAUACGCCUUGGAUAUCUACCAUCCCAACCGUAUAAUCAGAAGAAUAAUACUUAACUGUCCUACAUUUGCUACAACCCUCUGGAAAAAAUUCUCUUGAAGGGAAGUGCAAGUUAUAUGUUGAUGGUGGAGGUGUGAAUCUUACCAGCGAUGUGUAUUCUUCCUUUACUAUCCAUAUGAAAGUGAGGUGCUUAAUGCGCAAGCCUCUAUCAACAGAGAUUCUAUAUUGUUGGGUACAACUAUGGGUACGCCUUGGAGAGAUAAAAUCCCUAGCACCCCUCAUGCAAAGAGAAGCGGAAUCUCCUUUUUUGUUGUAGUGUAUGCCUUCUAAUUAUAUUGCAAUAGUAAUAUGCCAAUAAGUAUUUGGAAUAAGAGCAAAUAGUUUAUGGUUAUCUAGAAUUUUCAUUACUUAUAUUGUUUAUUGGACCAUGUGUAUGUAUUAAGUCAUUCGCAAAUACACAUGUGGUGUCAACUCACUCACAGCUAUUAUUCACGUUAGCUUUGGAACUUUAGGUUUUGCACUCAGUUCGGCUCUUUGUGACUAUUCAAGUAUUCAAUUCAUCAGGAACCUCAUGUCAUAAUUUAAUGUUCUUCACAGUAGUUCUUGGGCAUCAUUAUGUUUUGUUGAUCCAAAUUUUACUAUUCUCAAAUAUUUCUUGUUUCAUGUUGUUUCCAAUAUAGAAUUCUAGAAAUUUUACAUCUAACAUUGUCUAAAAUGAUCCACUUGCAUGAAAAAUCACCUUUCAUAUUUGGUGAGUUGUUUCUGAAAUCUGUAAUCUUUAAUCGUCCUUUUUGUCUUGGCCACCCAAAUUACCAAAUGAUGCCAGCUCUGUUUGCACGAUGUGUACAAUUCUCGAUUUCACUAAAAUGGGCUCCAUGUGAAUCUAAAUAAAACACUAAAUUGCAACAAUAGCCUAAUUGAACUUGUGAUUUUGGAAAUGUUAUGGCCGAAGAAGCUCAUCAAACAGUGUACUGUAAACUGGUUGGUUAUUGAGAGGCCCUUUAUCUGUUUCUAUCCCAGUCGGUCCACAAGUGCAUGAUAGGUGAUCAUGUGGUAUUUGUGAUGUUCUUUACACUAACUGGAUGCAAGUGAUGUGUGUUAGUCUGCUUUCCAGUUUCUUCCCCACCUUUAUGUUGAAUGUACUAUGUGUUUUUGCCAUAUCUGGCUGUUGACAUUUCCUAAACUAGAUUUAAUUGUUGUUUAGAUGGCGAGGUUCAUGGAUAAGCAGUAUUUCUGUCAUAUUUGCGUUCUAUCAUUAUGUGCUUUCUCCACGUAGUUGUUGGCUGGACCGUAUAUUUAUUGCAUGAUGAAAACGAAUUUCUAUGAUUGUGAUUUUGACAAAAUAAACAACACACUAUAUGAUGGCACCUCAAAAGGGUGUGAUUCAUCUUUAACUUCUUUAUCCACUUGCGCUUUCAGCACCGCAGAGCUCAUGCAAAGACCAUGAGGAGCAGCACUGCUGGACGGAACAGAAACAACAAUGGUGAUGUAGCUUCUUAUUCCCCAUACUCGUAACACGGUGGAGGGCGACAAACAAUGUAACUGAUGGUGGCAGUGGUGGUGUAGGGGAGGAGCAUAUGGACCAUACAAUCUAGGAGUCCUGAUCGCAAGCUGUGAUUCUGCCAUGUUAUCGGUGCUUGAGCGCCGUAUGAGGGUGAAGAACAUUACCUUAUCAAUGUGUCUUGCAUGCCACCCGUUACCUUGAGUCCUCGGUAUAUUAGGGUUGUAAUGUUUUGUUUAUUCAAUGGAUUCUUGGCCGUCCUGUAGCUAAUUCCAUCCAGUAUUCGUUCUAGCAAGUGUUUUGGUCUGGUGUGUAAUUUUGGGCCUGCUGUGUUGCCAUAUCCCUUUUUUUAAACCGGAUCUGCCAGGCGAUGUGUCACUGGUUCCCUGGUCGAACCUCCGGUCGUGAUGGUUUGGUAGAGAUGCAAUUUGUAAAAUUACUUAACUAAGUUGGGUUUGAUAAAGCGAUCACAAAGAAGAUGCAGACAACACUGUACA